CCUACGGGUGGCAGCAGUGGGGAAUAUUGCACAAUGGGGGAAACCCUGAUGCAGCGACGCCGCGUGAGUGAAGAAGUAUUUCGGUAUGUAAAGCUCUAUCAGCAGGGAAGAAAAAUACGGUACCUGAUUAAGAAGCUCCGGCUAACUACGUGCCAGCAGCCGCGGUAAUACGUAGGGGGCAAGCGUUAUCCGGAUUUACCGGGUGUAAAGGGAGCGUAGACGGCAGCGCAAGUCUGAAGUGAAAUGCCGGGGCUUAACCCCGGAACUGCAUUGGAAACUGUGCAGCUAGAGUGCAGGAGAGGUAAGUGGAAUUCGUGGUGUAGCGGUGAAAUGCGUAGAUAUUAGGAAGAACACCGGUGGCGAAGGCAGCUUACUGGACUGUAACUGACGUUGAGGCUCGAAAGCGUGGGGAGCAAACAGGAUUAGAUACCCUAGUAGUC
RNAcentral lists this ribosomal RNA (440 nucleotides) under uncultured bacterium. RNAcentral describes it as "partial 16S ribosomal RNA". It matches the Rfam family "Bacterial small subunit ribosomal RNA", at positions 338 to 795 of the family's 1533-position model. The record is from RNAcentral.